GCGGGCGUCGCCAAGUGGUAAGGCCCAGGCUUCCCAAGCCUGUACCGCGGGUUCGAGUCCCGUCGCCCGCU
Molecule: non-coding RNA, 71 nt
Organism: Adlercreutzia equolifaciens DSM 19450
Lineage: Bacteria; Bacillati; Actinomycetota; Coriobacteriia; Eggerthellales; Eggerthellaceae
Source: Rfam